This 425-nucleotide ribosomal RNA is filed under the name uncultured bacterium. RNAcentral's name for it is "partial 16S ribosomal RNA". It matches the Rfam family "Bacterial small subunit ribosomal RNA", at positions 354 to 796 of the family's 1533-position model. The record is from RNAcentral.
GUGGGGAAUAUUGGACAAUGGGCGCAAGCCUGAUCCAGCCAUGCCGCGUGAGUGAUGAAGGCCCUAGGGUUGUAAAGCUCUUUCACCGGAGAAGAUAAUGACGGUAUCCGGAGAAGAAGCCCCGGCUAACUUCGUGCCAGCAGCCGCGGUAAUACGAAGGGUGCUAGCGUUGUUCGGAAUUACUGGGCGUAAAGCGCACGUAGGCGGACAUUUAAGUCAGGGGUGAAAUCCCGGAGCUCAACUCCGGAACUGCCUUUGAUACUGGGUGUCUGGAGUAUGGAAGAGGUGAGUGGAAUUCCGAGUGUAGAGGUGAAAUUCGUAGAUAUUCGGAGGAACACCAGUGGCUAAGGCGGCUCACUGGUCCAUUACUGACGCUGAGGUGCGAAAGCGUGGGGAGCAAACAGGAUUAGAUACCCCAGUAGUCC